This 436-nucleotide ribosomal RNA is filed under the name uncultured bacterium. RNAcentral describes it as "partial 16S ribosomal RNA". It matches the Rfam family "Bacterial small subunit ribosomal RNA", at positions 341 to 792 of the family's 1533-position model. The record is from RNAcentral.
ACGGAAGGCAGCAGUGGGGAAUAUUGGGCAAUGGGGGAAACCCUGACCUAGCAACGCCGCGUGGAGGAAGAAGGUCUUCGGAUCGUAAACUCCUGUCCUAAGAGACGAGUAGAAGACGGUAACUUAGGAGGAAGCCCCGGCUAACUACGUGCCAGCAGCCGCGGUAAUACGUAGGGGGCGAGCGUUGUCCGGAAUGAUUGGGCGUAAAGGGCGCGUAGGCGGCCUGUUAAGUCAGAAGUGAAAGUCCUGCUUUCAAGGUGGGAAUUGCUUUUGAUACUGAUGGGCUUGAGUGCAGGAGAGGUUAGUGGAAUUCCCAGUGUAGCGGUGAAAUGCGUAGAGAUUGGGAGGAACACCAGUGGCGAAGGCGACUAACUGGACUGUAACUGACGCUGAGGCGCGAAAGUGUGGGGAGCAAACAGGAUUAGAUACCCUGGUA